Molecule: non-coding RNA, 162 nt
Filed under: uncultured Clostridium sp.
Lineage: Bacteria; Bacillati; Bacillota; Clostridia; Eubacteriales; Clostridiaceae
Source: RNAcentral
UUUUAUGGUUGCAAACGCAAUAACAGGGAAUGAGGUGAGAAUCCUCAACAGCCCCCGCUACUGUAAUGGCUACGAAACUCUCAAUAGAGUCACUGAGAUUAACUUGGGAAGACUGGGAGGAGUAGGUUUGAAGCAUAAGUCAGGAGACCUACCAUAGAAUAA